This is a long non-coding RNA of Silurus meridionalis, 405 nucleotides long. RefSeq lists it as uncharacterized. The record is from RefSeq and is a predicted model, not a curated record. The transcript has 3 exons. NCBI's taxonomy places the organism in Eukaryota, Metazoa, Chordata, Actinopteri, Siluriformes, Siluridae.
AAUGACUCGACCAGGAUGGAAACUUACCCGAAUCCUUCUCAUGGCAGCUACUAUUUCCACACGGCUGUUGGGUCGAGCGACAUCCAGACUUCCAAUAUACUGCCAAAGACACCACAACAACAAGAACAACAGGAUUUGUGUUUGUCUUGGUGUGGAGGUGAGUGGUCUGUCGCUGUCUGAGAUGCUCCAGCACUGCUCGACUGGUACCACCUUCUCUCAGAAUGAGAGAGAGAAGAACAGGAGGAGAUCAAAUGCUUACCAAUAACUCAUCACUGUCUGAGCACUUUGACAGAUAUCCAGUCCAUCCAUGCAUCAUGUCACCAUGGUGAAGUUAUGAGCUUCUGUACAAACAACGUUACCACAUGAACACCAACAGCCAUAAUUUCACUUCCUCUUACAACACAA